GAUGAACGCUGGCGGCGUGCCUAAUACAUGCAAGUCGAGCGAACAGACGAGGAGCUUGCUCCUCUGACGUUAGCGGCGGACGGGUGAGUAACACGUGGAUAACCUACCUAUAAGACUGGGAUAACUUCGGGAAACCGGAGCUAAUACCGGAUAAUAUAUUGAACCGCAUGGUUCAAUAGUGAAAGACGGUUUUGCUGUCACUUAUAGAUGGAUCCGCGCCGCAUUAGCUAGUUGGUAAGGUAACGGCUUACCAAGGCAACGAUGCGUAGCCGACCUGAGAGGGUGUUCGGCCACACUGGAACGGGGACACGGUCCAGACUCCUACGGGGGGCAGCAGUAGGGAAUCUUCCCCAAUGGGCGAAAGCCUGACGGAGCACCGCCGCGUGAGUGAUGAAGGUCUUCGGAUCGUAAAACUCUGUUAUUAGGGAAGAACAAAUGUGUAAGUAACUAUGCACGUCUUGACGGUACCUAAUCAGAAAGCCACGGCUAACUACGUG
RNAcentral lists this ribosomal RNA (497 nucleotides) under uncultured bacterium. Its description in RNAcentral is "partial 16S ribosomal RNA". It matches the Rfam family "Bacterial small subunit ribosomal RNA", at positions 28 to 507 of the family's 1533-position model. The record is from RNAcentral.